GACGAACGCUGGCGGCGUGCCUAAUACAUGCAAGUCGAGCGGACUUGAAGGAGUGCUUGCACUCCUGAGAGUUAGCGGCGGACGGGUGAGUAACACGUAGGCAACCUGCCCUCAAGACUGGGAUAACUACCGGAAACGGUAGCUAAUACCGGAUAAUUUAUUACAUAGCAUUAUGUGAUAAUGAAAGACGGAGCAAUCUGUCACUUGGGGAUGGGCCUGCGGCGCAUUAGCUAGUUGGUGGGGUAACGGCCCACCAAGGCGACGAUGCGUAGCCGACCUGGGGGGGUGAACGGCCACACGGGGACUGAAACCCGGCCCAGACCCCUACGGGGGGCAGCAGUGGGGAAUCUUCCGCAUGGGGCGAAAGCCUGCCGGAGCAACGCCGCGUGAGUGAUGAGGGUUUUCGGUUCGUAAAGCUCUGUUGCCAAGGAAGAACGUCCCCUGGGGUAACUGCUAGGAGAGUGACGGUACUUGAGAAGAAAGCCCCGGCUAACUACGU
RNAcentral lists this ribosomal RNA (499 nucleotides) under uncultured bacterium. Its description in RNAcentral is "partial 16S ribosomal RNA". It matches the Rfam family "Bacterial small subunit ribosomal RNA", at positions 28 to 506 of the family's 1533-position model. The record is from RNAcentral.